UUGGCGGACGGGUGAGUAACGCGUGGGUAACCUGCCUUACACAGGGGGAUAGCAGUUGGAAACGACUGGUAAUACCGCAUACCUUACAUUAUUCGCAUGUUUGAUGUAAGAAAGAUUUAUCGGUGUAAGAUGGACCCGCGUCUGAUUAGCUAGUUGGUGAGGUAACGGCCCACCAAGGCGACGAUCAGUAGCCGGCCUGAGAGGGUGAACGGCCACAUUGGGACUGAGACACGGCCCAA
RNAcentral lists this ribosomal RNA (239 nucleotides) under uncultured bacterium. RNAcentral describes it as "partial 16S ribosomal RNA". It matches the Rfam family "Bacterial small subunit ribosomal RNA", at positions 95 to 334 of the family's 1533-position model. The record is from RNAcentral.